Panicum virgatum (switchgrass) is the source of this 1099-nucleotide long non-coding RNA. RefSeq lists it as uncharacterized. The transcript has 4 exons. NCBI's taxonomy places the organism in Eukaryota, Viridiplantae, Streptophyta, Magnoliopsida, Poales, Poaceae. The record is from RefSeq and is a predicted model, not a curated record.
UGUCCUAACGGGGUGCUCAAUUCUGCUACAGCUUUGGUCUUACGAGAGGAUUGCUAUCGGUCGUCCCAUGAUUGACCAGUCACCGUACACGCCGGAUAUGUACGGUGACACGGAGGACGACAGACCCACCAUGGGGACUCUCUGGUACUCUCGACAGAAAACAUGGGCACAUGUACAGACCCGGCGGUCUUAUCCUGAGUUUGUUGCCGAAUUUGAUUGAUUGACCCCAGAAGACAUUGUGUGGGAGCCAUACAGUCCUUCGGCUAUAGCCGCACGUGCACCGCUUGGGAUAUUUUCUGUGUGCACACAGGACCAGGGCCUAUGGAUGACUACUGCAGCUUUGGUGUACGACAUUGCAGUUGAGGCCCACUGCCCGGAUAGAGUCAUGAGGCAGUUCGGUCGACGCCAGUCUUUCCCUGUGUCUUCAGCGUUGGAUCGUGUUCAGUGCCACGAUCAUAGUUUAUCAAGGGCUAGACAUCCUUUCUCGACAAUGUGGGUCACUAGAUUACAACCAUGGGUGGCUGCAUGGGAUGAUGCAGGCGAGCAGUUGGCUGAGGAUACCGGUCCACACACUGAGCCUUCGUUUCGGGCGUACCUGACCUGGUAUGAACCGAAGACUCGUUGCCGUUUGACGUAUGUUGACAUGCAUCCACAGCCGCAUGUUGCGACUUCGCAGGAUCGCUAUGCACGACACAGGGAUGAGGCAUUAGCUGGGGCGGUGAGUAAAUGUUGACGGCAUUUUCGAUCUUUUAAGAUUUGUAUACUAAGUUUUCUUGGUUGCAGUUCGAGACAUGUAGGUUGCUUGAAUUAGAUUGCUCACUGAAUGUAAUGAGGAUUCAUGGCGGGUCUACGAUGAGCAUGCCGGCACAACUCGAGGCCUGGACCACUCAAUGUGAUAGAGCCCGAGACAUCCUUCAGGCCUUUGGUAUGCGGACGGAGUACGAGGAUUCCUACGGAUCGUCGCAAGCGUCGACGUCGGUUCCUUGUGGUCCCGCAUGGUAGCAGCCUCCCUUAUACCACCGACAGUACGAAGGGUACGGGUACCCCGGUUCUCAGCCCUAUGGAGGGCCAGGUGCCUCGCAAGGGGCUCCAUUUCAAG